CGCGCGCACACACACACCACCCACACACACCACCACGCCCUGUCCCCUUUCUCCACCCUGCAAGCUAGUUGCAUUUACCUCACAGAGCCUGGGCUGCGACUUGAAAGACUUUAGGCAGCAACAGAGUGACCCUGGGGGUGCUCUUGACCGACAGCCGCACCUCCGGCGUCUAGGACCUCCGAGCAGGGAUGCAUCUGGGGGUCUAGGGAAGCACUUCCACCCCCUCCUCUCCUCAACCCUGGCAGGAUGUGCCCGAAAUGCCAGCUCCUCCUUGGUGUUCUCCUUUCAAGAUUUGAAUUCAAAUCCCAUAUUGGCAGCCCUGAUACCGCUGGGGGAAGGGUGAGGCUACCGCUGCUUCAAGACAGUGACGUUUCUCUCCGGUCAGCUGUCAGGAGCGCUGCUGGGUCUUACUGGGGAUCUGGCCAGCCUUGGGGACCCUUGGGGCCCUGGCCCAGUGGAAGCUUGUGCCUGAGGAACAUGGAGGCCACGCCAAUGAGUUACUUCCAGAGUCUUCAAGAGUGCCAACUGGGACCAGGACCCCAGGCCACAGCCCCCCACACCGUCCUGGACCUGGAUUCUGACUGUGGUUCCACUGUACCCCUCACCUUAAUCUCUGGUUCUAACCAGACCUGAGCCUAGACUUCCACUUUUUCCUUCACCCCUGUGAGGGCCUGGGAACACUAGGUGGGCAGGGUUUGAGCCCACAGGACCUGCACACAAACUUCCCCACCUCUUGGACUUGGGGACAGGAUCUGUGCCUCAACCCAGACCAGCCUUGUAGGGAUAUGUUCCAAGAAUAGAGAAGAGUCUUAUGGGGAAGGGGGAGGAAGGGAAGUAUGAAUAUUUACCUCUGACCAAUAAUAGAGGUGCCCUGGUCCC
This 879-nucleotide small RNA is filed under the name Pongo abelii (Sumatran orangutan). RNAcentral describes it as "processed transcript". Lineage: Eukaryota; Metazoa; Chordata; Mammalia; Primates; Hominidae. The record is from RNAcentral.